GAUGAACGCUGGCGGCGUGCCUAAUACAUGCAAGUCGAGCGAACAGACGAGGAGCUUGCUCCUCUGACGUUAGCGGCGGACGGGUGAGUAACACGUGGAUAACCUACCUAUAAGACUGGGAUAACUUCGGGAAACCGGAGCUAAUACCGUAUAAUAUAUUGAACCGCAGGGUUCAUUGGUGAAAGUCGGUUUUGCGGUCACUACUAGAUGGAUCCGCGCUGCAUUAUCUGGUUGUGAGGUUAACGGCUUACCAAGGCAACGAUGCGUAGCCGACGUGAGGGGCGGAUCGGCGACACGAGAACUGAGACGCGGACCAUACUCCUACGGGAGGCAGCAGUAGGGAAUGUUCGGCAACGGGCGAAAGCAUGACGGAGCAAGGCGGAGUGAGUGAUGAAGGUCUUCGGAUCGGAAAGAUCUGUUAUUAGGGAAGAACCAAUGUGUAAGUAGCUAUGCACGUCUUGACGGUACCUAAUAAGAAAGCCACGGCUAACUACGUG
This 497-nucleotide ribosomal RNA is filed under the name uncultured bacterium. Its description in RNAcentral is "partial 16S ribosomal RNA". It matches the Rfam family "Bacterial small subunit ribosomal RNA", at positions 28 to 507 of the family's 1533-position model. The record is from RNAcentral.